GUGGCUGUAGCUCAAAGGUUAGAGCGCCGGACUGUGGCUCCGGAGGCUGCGGGUUCAAGUCCCGUCAGCCACC
This 73-nucleotide transfer RNA is filed under the name Gemmatimonadota bacterium. RNAcentral's name for it is "tRNA-His". It matches the Rfam family "tRNA". Rfam says of the family: Transfer RNA (tRNA) molecules are approximately 80 nucleotides in length. Lineage: Bacteria; Pseudomonadati; Gemmatimonadota. The record is from RNAcentral.